CAAUAGCGUAUAUUAAAGUUGUUGCAGUUAGAACGCUCGUAGUCGGAUUUCGGGGCGGGCCGACCGGUCUGCCGAUGGGUAUGCACUGGUCGGCGCGUCCUUCCUUCCGGAGACCGUCCCUACUCUUAACUGAGCGGGGGCGGGAGACGGGACUUUUACUUUGAAAAAAUCAGAGUGUUUCAAGCAGGCAGCUCGCUCUUGCAUGGAUUAGCAUGGUAUAAUGAAAUAGGACUUUGGUGCUAUUUUGUUGGUUUCGAACACCGAAGUAAUGAUGAGAAGGGACAGUCAGGGGCACUCGUAUUCCGCCGAGAGAGGUGAAAUUCUCAGACCAGCGGAAGACGAACCACUGCGAAAGCAUUUGCCAGGGAUGUUUUCACUGA
RNAcentral lists this ribosomal RNA (380 nucleotides) under uncultured eukaryote. Its description in RNAcentral is "partial 18S ribosomal RNA". It matches the Rfam family "Eukaryotic small subunit ribosomal RNA", at positions 592 to 976 of the family's 1831-position model. The record is from RNAcentral.